RNAcentral lists this ribosomal RNA (253 nucleotides) under uncultured bacterium. Its description in RNAcentral is "partial 16S ribosomal RNA". It matches the Rfam family "Bacterial small subunit ribosomal RNA", at positions 524 to 776 of the family's 1533-position model. The record is from RNAcentral.
UACGAGGGGUGCAAGCGUUGCUCGGAAUUAUUGGGCGUAAAGGGUAGGUAGGUGGUCUCAUUUGUCUGGGGUGAAAGCCUUGAGCUUAACUCGAGAAGUGCCCCGGAAACGGUGAGACUGGAGUCUUGGAGAGGGUCGUGGAAUUCCCGGUGUAGCGGUGAAAUGCGUAGAGAUGCGGAGGAACACCAAUGGCGAAGGCAGCCCCCUGGGUCAACACUGACGCUCAUGCACGAAAGCGUGGGGAGCAAACAGG